AUUGCUUCUUGGCCUUUUGACUAAGAUCAAGUGUAGUAUCUGUUCUUAUCAGUUUAAUAAUUUUUCCUCUAAAGCCUAUUUGAUAUGCUAUUAAUAUAGAGAUAGGUCUUUAAAAAUUAAAUCUGACAAUCUCU
Non-coding RNA from Pteropus alecto (black flying fox), 134 nucleotides. The record is from Rfam. Lineage: Eukaryota; Metazoa; Chordata; Mammalia; Chiroptera; Pteropodidae.